GGAAUAUUGGACAAUGGGCGAAAGCCUGAUCCAGCCAUGCCGCGUGUGUGAAGAAGGUCUUCGGAUUGUAAAGCACUUUAAGUUGGGAGGAAGGGCAUUUACCUAAUACGUAAGUGUUUUGACGUUACCGACAGAAUAAGCACCGGCUAACUCUGUGCCAGCAGCCGCGGUAAUACAGAGGGUGCAAGCGUUAAUCGGAAUUACUGGGCGUAAAGCGCGCGUAGGUGGUUUGUUAAGUUGAAUGUGAAAUCCCCGGGCUCAACCUGGGAACUGCAUCCAAAACUGGCAAGCUAGAGUAUGGUAGAGGGUGGUGGAAUUUCCUGUGUAGCGGUGAAAUGCGUAGAUAUAGGAAGGAACACCAGUGGCGAAGGCGACCACCUGGACUGAUACUGACACUGAGGUGCGAAAGCGUGGGGAGCAAACAGGAUUAGAUACCCUUG
This 440-nucleotide ribosomal RNA is filed under the name uncultured Pseudomonas sp. RNAcentral's name for it is "bacterial SSU rRNA". It matches the Rfam family "Bacterial small subunit ribosomal RNA", at positions 358 to 790 of the family's 1533-position model. Lineage: Bacteria; Pseudomonadati; Pseudomonadota; Gammaproteobacteria; Pseudomonadales; Pseudomonadaceae. The record is from RNAcentral.